RNAcentral lists this ribosomal RNA (253 nucleotides) under uncultured bacterium. RNAcentral's name for it is "partial 16S ribosomal RNA". It matches the Rfam family "Bacterial small subunit ribosomal RNA", at positions 524 to 776 of the family's 1533-position model. The record is from RNAcentral.
UACGUAGGGUGCGAGCGUUAAUCGGAAUUACUGGGCGUAAAGUGUGCGCAGGCGGCUUCGCAAGUCGGGUGUGAAAUCCCCGAGCUUAACUUGGGAAUUGCGCUCGAAACUACGGAGCUGGAGUGUGGCAGAGGAAGGUGGAAUUCCACGUGUAGCGGUGAAAUGCGUAGAGAUGUGGAGGAACACCGAUGGCGAAGGCAGCCGUCUGGGGCAACGCUGACGCUCAUGCACGAAAGCGUGGGGAGCGAACAGG